GUGCAAAGGUAGCAUAAUCAUUUGGUUUUUAAAUGGAAUCUUGUAUGAAAGGGAAAACGAAUAAAAGCUGUCUUUUUAAUAAAUUUUGAAUUUAAGUUUCUUGUAAAAAUUCAAGAAUAAUAUUAGGGGACGAUAAGACCCUAUAAAGCUUUAUUUUUAAUAUUAAUUAUUACAUUAUUUAUUUAAUAUUAAAAAUUUUACUGGGGCGGUAGCUUAAGAAACUAAGUAUAAAAAUUUAGAUCCACUAAUAGUGAUAAUUUGAUUAAGUUACUUUAGGGAUAACAGCAUAAUUCAUUUAGGGAGUUCAAAUCGAAAAAUGAGAUUAUGACCUCGAUGUUGAAUU
This 343-nucleotide ribosomal RNA is filed under the name Mitopus morio. Its description in RNAcentral is "partial large subunit ribosomal RNA". It matches the Rfam family "Bacterial large subunit ribosomal RNA", at positions 1948 to 2538 of the family's 2925-position model. Lineage: Eukaryota; Metazoa; Arthropoda; Arachnida; Opiliones; Phalangiidae. The record is from RNAcentral.